GGGUCACUGGUGAGCCUU
Molecule: non-coding RNA, 18 nt
Filed under: Mus musculus (house mouse)
Lineage: Eukaryota; Metazoa; Chordata; Mammalia; Rodentia; Muridae
Source: RNAcentral